CUCCAAGGCUAAAUACUCCUGACUGACCGAUAGUGAACCAGUACCGUGAGGGAAAGGCGAAAAGAACCCCGGCGAGGGGAGUGAAAAAGAACCUGAAACCGUGUACGUACAAGCAGUGGGAGCACAGGUUUACCUGUGUGACUGCGUACCUUUUGUAUAAUGGGUCAGCGACUUAUAUUCUGUAGCAAGGUUAACCGAAUAGGGGAGCCGGAGGGAAACCGAGUCUUAAUUGGGCGUUAAGUUGCAGGGUAUAGACCCGAAACCCGGUGAUCUAGCCAUGGGCAGGUUGAAGGUUGGGUAACACUAACUGGAGGACCGAACCGACUAAUGUUGAAAAAUUAGCGGAUGACCUGUGGCUGGGGGUGAAAGGCCAAUCAAACCGGGAGAUAGCUGGUUCUCCCCGAAAGCUAUUUAGGUAGCGCCUCGUGAAUUCAUCUCCGGGGGUAGAGCACUGUUUCGGCUAGGGGGCCAUCCCGGCUUACCAACCCGAUGCAAACUGCGAAUACCGGAGAAUGUUAUCACGGGAGACACACGGCGGGUGCUAACGUCCGUCGUGAAGAGGGAAACAACCCAGACCGCCAGCUAAGGUCCCAAAGUCAUGGUUAAGUGGGAAACGAUGUGGGAAGGCCCAGACAGCCAGGAUGUUGGCUUAGAAGCAGCCAUCAUUUAAAGAAAGCGUAAUAGCUCACUGGUCGAGUCGGCCUGCGCGGAAGAUGUAACGGGGCUAAACCAUGCACCGAAGCUGCGGCAGCGACGCUGAUGCGUUGUUGGGUAGGGGAGCGUUCUGUAAGCCUGCGAAGGUGGCCUGUGAGGGUUGCUGGAGGUAUCAGAAGUGCGAAUGCUGACAUAAGUAACGAUAAAGCGGGUGAAAAGCCCGCUCGCCGGAAGACCAAGGGUUCCUGUCCAACGUUAAUCGGGGCAGGGUGAGUCGACCCCUAAGGCGAGGCCGAAAGGCGUAGUCGAUGGGAAACGGGUUAAUAUUCCCGUACUUGGUGUUACUGCGAAGGGGGGACGGAGAAGGCUAUGUUGGCCGGGCGACGGUUGUCCCGGUUUAAGCGUGUAGGUGUGUGUUCCAGGUAAAUCCGGUUCACUUUAACACUGAGGCGUGAUGACGAGGCACUACGGUGCUGAAGCAACAAAUGCCCUGCUUCCAGGAAAAGCCUCUAAGCAUCAGGUAACAUCAAAUCGUACCCCAAACCGACACAGGUGGUCAGGUAGAGAAUACCAAGGCGCUUGAGAGAACUCGGGUGAAGGAACUAGGCAAAAUGGUGCCGUAACUUCGGGAGAAGGCACGCUGACACGUAGGUGAAGUGAUUUACUCAUGGAGCUGAAGUCAGUCGAAGAUACCAGCUGGCUGCAACUGUUUAUUAAAAACACAGCACUGUGCAAACACGAAAGUGGACGUAUACGGUGUGACGCCUGCCCGGUGCCGGAAGGUUAAUUGAUGGGGUCAGCGCAAGCGAAGCUCCUGAUCGAAGCCCCGGUAAACGGCGGCCGUAACUAUAACGGUCCUAAGGUAGCGAAAUUCCUUGUCGGGUAAGUUCCGACCUGCACGAAUGGCGUAAUGAUGGCCAGGCUGUCUCCACCCGAGACUCAGUGAAAUUGAACUCGCUGUGAAGAUGCAGUGUACCCGCGGCAAGACGGAAAGACCCCGUGAACCUUUACUAUAGCUUGACACUGAACAUUGAGCCUUGAUGUGUAGGAUAGGUGGGAGGCUUUGAAGUGUGGACGCCAGUCUGCAUGGAGCCGACCUUGAAAUACCACCCUUUAAUGUUUGAUGUUCUAACGUGGACCCGUGAUCCGGGUUGCGGACAGUGUCUGGUGGGUAGUUUGACUGGGGCGGUCUCCUCCUAAAGAGUAACGGAGGAGCACGAAGGUUGGCUAAUCCUGGUCGGACAUCAGGAGGUUAGUGCAAUGGCAUAAGCCAGCUUGACUGCGAGCGUGACGGCGCGAGCAGGUGCGAAAGCAGGUCAUAGUGAUCCGGUGGUUCUGAAUGGAAGGGCCAUCGCUCAACGGAUAAAAGGUACUCCGGGGAUAACAGGCUGAUACCGCCCAAGAGUUCAUAUCGACGGCGGUGUUUGGCACCUCGAUGUCGGCUCAUCACAUCCUGGGGCUGAAGUAGGUCCCAAGGGUAUGGCUGUUCGCCAUUUAAAGUGGUACGCGAGCUGGGUUUAGAACGUCGUGAGACAGUUCGGUCCCUAUCUGCCGUGGGCGCUGGAGAACUGAGGGGGGCUGCUCCUAGUACGAGAGGACCGGAGUGGACGCAUCACUGGUGUUCGGGUUGUCAUGCCAAUGGCACUGCCCGGUAGCUAAAUGCGGAAGAGAUAAGUGCUGAAAGCAUCUAAGCACGAAACUUGCCCCGA
Molecule: ribosomal RNA, 2363 nt
Filed under: Salmonella enterica
Lineage: Bacteria; Pseudomonadati; Pseudomonadota; Gammaproteobacteria; Enterobacterales; Enterobacteriaceae
Description: partial 23S ribosomal RNA
Rfam family: Bacterial large subunit ribosomal RNA
Source: RNAcentral